Dipodomys ordii (Ord's kangaroo rat) is the source of this 871-nucleotide non-coding RNA. The record is from the annotation of a RefSeq genome assembly. NCBI's taxonomy places the organism in Eukaryota, Metazoa, Chordata, Mammalia, Rodentia, Heteromyidae.
AGGUACAGCACCAGUUACUGGCCUCAGCUGUAAGUCACUCGGGAUGACCAGCUCUGACAGACUGUUGUAAGGGACAUUUACUUUUGAUCAGAAUUUUGAGGGGGUUUUCUGCUCCACUUAACCGUCUGGGCCUUUCUUUUGAAGACCCAAAAGAAGGUGGCAUGAUGUGGGCUGUAGCAUUACUUCUAGCUUUUCUGCUCCCUGGCAGUCAAAUGUCUUCCACCUGGGCAGGGAGAAUGCGGUCAGUCACCAAGACACUAAAGUCGUCUGUGGCAAUCAGUUGUGAUAUUUACCUGGACACGGCCUAUGUCCACUGGUAUCAGGCCGUGGAGGGGAAAGCCCCACGACACCUCCUCUUCUAUAACUUUGGUUCAACCACUGUCAUGGUGGACUCUGAACUCAGUCCAGGAAAAUACCAUGCUUAUGAAGGGGCAGAAAGGAACUGUAACUUGGUGAUACGAAAUCUGGACAGAAGCGAUGCUGGCAUGUAUUACUGCGCUGCCUGGACCGACACAGUGAUGCAGUCCUGCCACCAUCUAUGCUGAAAAGAUUUUUGGCAGCUGCUCGGGGUGAAGAAAGUCAGCCAGCUCACUUCCUGCCCUUGAUCUCCCUGGAUUAGGAACAAAAGGAAACUCCAAGACCCAUCCUCUACCCAUAACCUCACAUCCCACUCCCUACCACAGCCUUACUGCCACUAAAUACACCCCAGGAUGUUCCUAGAGACAAAACUGCCACCUCCUGCCCUCACACACACAUAUGGCUUGGAGUAUCUUCUUUACAGGCACUGGGGGAAAGCCCAUUCGUUCUGAAACCAGGACAUACAAAGUCACUCAGAGUAGAUCUAUUGCAGGAGAAGACAAGGAGAGCAUUA